AUUGAACGCUGGCGGCAUGCCUUACACAUGCAAGUCGAACGGUAACAGGUCUUCGGAUGCUGACGAGUGGCGAACGGGUGAGGCAGACAUCGGAACGUGCCUAGUAGUGGGGGAUACCUACUCGAAAGAGUGGCUAAUACUGCAUGAGAUCUACGGAUGAAAGCAGGGGAUCGACAGACCCUGUGCUACUAGAGCGGACGAUGGCAGAUUAGGUAGGUGGUGGGAUAAAAGCUUACCAAGCCGACGAUCUGUAGCUGGUCUGAGAGGACGAUCAGCCACACUGGGACUGAGACACGGCCCAGACUCCUACGGGAGGCAGCAGUGGGGAAUUUUGGACAAUGGGCGAAAGCCUGAUCCAGCAAUGCCGCGUGCAGGAUGAAGGCCUUCGGGUUGUAAACUGCUUUUGUACGGAACGAAAAGCCCCGGGUUAAUACCCUGGGGUCAUGACGGUACCGUAAGAAUAAGCACCGGCUAACUACGUGCCAGCCGCCGCAGUAA
RNAcentral lists this ribosomal RNA (498 nucleotides) under uncultured bacterium. Its description in RNAcentral is "partial 16S ribosomal RNA". It matches the Rfam family "Bacterial small subunit ribosomal RNA", at positions 30 to 523 of the family's 1533-position model. The record is from RNAcentral.